RNAcentral lists this small RNA (34 nucleotides) under Bombyx mori (domestic silkworm). Its description in RNAcentral is "ovarian small RNA-26797". The record is from RNAcentral. Lineage: Eukaryota; Metazoa; Arthropoda; Insecta; Lepidoptera; Bombycidae.
UCCAGCAGGCGUACACGGCCCCGCACGGGGGGAC